This 406-nucleotide ribosomal RNA is filed under the name uncultured bacterium. RNAcentral describes it as "partial 16S ribosomal RNA". It matches the Rfam family "Bacterial small subunit ribosomal RNA", at positions 30 to 526 of the family's 1533-position model. The record is from RNAcentral.
AUCGAACGCUGGCGGCAGGCCUAAUACAUGCAAGUCGAACGAGCGGCGGACGGGCGAGUAAUCGCUGAGCAACUGCCUGAUGGAGGGGGAUAAAUACUGGAAAAGGUAGAUAAUACCGCAUACCAUCAGCUGUGCCCAAACGGGAUUAGCUUGCUGGUGGGGUAACGGGUCACCAAGGCGACGAUCCCUAGCUGGUCUGAGAGGAUGACCAGCCACACUGGAACUGAGACACGGUCCAGACUCCUACGGGAGGCAGCGGUAGGGAAUAUUACGCAAUGGGCGCAAGUCUGAUGCAGCCAUGCCGCGUGAAGGAAGAAGGCCUUCGGGUUGUAAAGUACUUUCAGCAGAGAGGUGUUACCCGCAGAAGAAGCACCGGCUAACUCCGUGCCAGCAGCCGCGGUAAUUC